This 530-nucleotide ribosomal RNA is filed under the name Polistes sp. BOLD:ACO0792. RNAcentral describes it as "partial 16S ribosomal RNA". The record is from RNAcentral. Lineage: Eukaryota; Metazoa; Arthropoda; Insecta; Hymenoptera; Vespidae.
CAUGUCUUGUUGAAUUAAAUAAUAAGUUUAUUCUGCCCAUUGAAUUAAAUUUAAAAGGCUGCAGUAUAUUGACUGUACAAAGGUAGCAAAAUCAAUAGUUUUUUAAUUGAAAACUUGAAUGAAAGAAUUGAUAAAAUAUAAUCUGUCUCUAAUUUAUUUAAUUUGAAUUUAAAUUUAAAGUUAAAAUGCUUUAAUAGAUUUAUUAGACGAUAAGACCCUAAGAAUUUAAAAAUGUUAAUUUAAAAUUUUUAUUUUUUAAUUUUUAAUUUAUUAAAUUAAUAUUUUUUUAUUGGGAGGGUAAUUAAAUGUUUGAACUUUAAUUUUUAUUAAACAUAGAUAAAUGAAUUUUUAAUGAUAAUUUUUAUAAUUAUAAGAGUAAAUUACCUUAGGGAUAACAGCGUAAUAAUUUUGGAAAGUUCAUAUUAAUAAAAUUGAUUGCGACCUCGAUGUUGAAUUAAAAUAAAAAUUAAGUGAAGAAGCUUAAAAUUUUAGUCUGUUCGACUAUUAAAAUUUUACGUGAUCUGAGUUCA